GGUACCGUAGCCAAGUGGCCUAAGGCGACGGAUUGCAAAUCCGUUAUUUCCCCGGUUCGAAUCCGGGCGGUACCU
RNAcentral lists this transfer RNA (75 nucleotides) under Planctomycetaceae bacterium. Its description in RNAcentral is "tRNA-Cys". It matches the Rfam family "tRNA". Rfam says of the family: Transfer RNA (tRNA) molecules are approximately 80 nucleotides in length. Lineage: Bacteria; Pseudomonadati; Planctomycetota; Planctomycetia; Planctomycetales; Planctomycetaceae. The record is from RNAcentral.